Molecule: long non-coding RNA, 2496 nt
Organism: Herpailurus yagouaroundi (jaguarundi)
Lineage: Eukaryota; Metazoa; Chordata; Mammalia; Carnivora; Felidae
Exons: 5
Source: RefSeq, a predicted model, not a curated record
GGGGUCCCGGGCGGCCCCCCGGGCGUCUCGGCCCGGCGGCGGCAUCGGCAUUCCGGCGGCGCGGGCGGCCGCUGUCCUCGCACGACCCCGGCCCGUCCAGAGCGCGCCCCGCUACGACCCUCGGGAAGACACAGUAAAGGAAUUCAAAGCGAUGAUUACCCUUCCAGAAUGCCCCUGUUGACAUUUCCCAAAAUGAAGUCACGCCCGCAGCCGGAAAGAACCUGCAGAGGAAGAGCAGGUCCGGCUCUGACCUCAGAGAGCCGGCAACUCAUGGAAACAGCCAGAUGCCAUUCUGAGCCAAGCCCAGCGGGGCUGCUGCCGGGCCAACCCAGGUCAUCCAUCCGAGUGACCACAAAACAACGAAGCCCAUCUUCCCCUGCACCAUUACUGGCCUAGAGAAGGUUCCAGAAGAGAGGCUGCAAACCUGUUUCCAGUGAAAGUGGCACCGCCGGGCUCUGAAACCAUCCAUAGGGCAGUUGGACGCGCUGUCUACACAUGGCUCUCCCGAGCGGCGUCUUCCAAGAGCCCUUUGCCGCUCCGGGCCCCUCCCCCGCCGCCUCCCACCCCUGCGAACGGGCCUGUUUCUGCGAGCACUGAAGACGGGAAACACGCGAUCUUGAAUGUGUCUCUUUCACGGUCACACAUUUUUUUCGUUGUGCAUCUUGGCUGAUCCAUGAUUGAAGAUCCCCAGCAACUGUUUCCAGCACAAAUUUAUGACUAGACGGUGCUGGAAGUCAGGCGUCCAAAGUGGCCUCGCUGGGCUAGAACCAAGAUGUCGCGGAGCCAGCUCCUACUGGAGGCUCUGGCGGGAGCAUCCGUUUCCCGGCCACGGCCAGCUUCUGGAGGCGCCCGCAUCCCUCGCUCCCAGCGCCAUUCUCCGUCUUUGAGUCGCAGCAUUACGACCUCCGCUUCCCUCAUCAUCACAUCUCCUUUUCCCUGACUCUGAGCCCCUCCUCACCUACGUCCCUCCUUCCCUUAUGAGCACCCUUGAGGUCACGAUGGUCCACCCGGGGCAAUCCGUCCCCGUCUCAUCCGAGUCGCCCCAGGGCCUGUACUCAGCCGAGCACAGGACACGCACCUGCUCACAGCUCACAGGCCGUUGGCUCCCGGGUCCCGCCGGACUUCCCAAAGCGACGUAUGAAGUCGCAGGACAGAAGUAUCCGCCCCGGGUCACAGGUGGAAAGCUGAGGCGUGUGCAGCAGGGAAGGGGUGCACAGGGACCCUGCCGGGCCCGUGGCCGCUGGUGGUGAACCCGCGGCACACAGCGGGCAUCUGGGCCUCGAGGCAAACGGCCACAAGUACGCGAGGACGGGUCGAGAAUCCCUCCCGCGGUACGGGUCCACGGCGCAGGCACUUUGGGGUUUGGAACAGAGGGUUCCCCCAGACUCACCUCUUCCCCAUGGGGCUGCCCGAGGGAAGAGCACGGGACAAAGGGGCAGACAGACCCGGGCAAUGCACGCGUGCGCACACGCACGUGGGCGGCUGAACAUCCCGAGCCUCAGAUCCCACCUCACUAUGGACUAUGAGCGGGUUGCCGUGUGCACGUUCCAAGCCCUGGGCCUCGGAGAAAGGGGCAGAGCAUGACUUCUCUGCUUGGCCUUGGCUGGAAUGCAGACGGGAUGGAGGGAGCUGCCGCAGCCAUCUGAGACCGUGAGCUCAGAGUUUCUUGUGGAGGACAGAGCAGCGGGCUCCCCGGCGUCUAGGCUUCUGACGUCCCGGUGGCUCCACAUCCAGAACCGCCUGUGUUUGGACUGAAGCGGGAGAAAGAAAGAAACGUCCAUCAUGUUUAAGCCACUCUCUGGGGGCAUCUUUGUUCUAGCAGCAAGCAUGAACAGCAUCCCGACUGAUACAGAUUCGGGCACACAGAAGGGACGGGCGCUGCUCUUGUAGCUAAAUCCCCCUCGGUCUGGCCUCCGUGGUCCAGGACACAGGUGUUAUGAGCUGGAAAGCUGUCGCCAGCCCCCCACCCCCACCCCGCCGUGCUGUGAUCUUGCCCUAAAAGUGCUCCCUCAGAUGCAUAGAAGGCAGACCACAUCGCGAUGGCCCCUGGAAGUCUUGGGACUGGCUUGAAAGACUCAUAAUGUUGGGGUGGGGGGGGGAGGUGCUUCCUGACUUUGGGAACUGAUCUGGGAGAGUCACCAGGUGGCUUUGGAGACACAGUCUCGGUGGAAGAGAAGAGGUUGGUCCCAGGAGGCAUCCCCAGCAGGACAGGGGGACCGGCCCUGGGGCCGCGAUCUGAAUGGAGCGCUGUCCCUCUAGGCCAAGCCUGUUGAUUCCGGGGACAGCAAGGCAGUAGCUCUUGAAUGAGCAAGAUAAGUCAACAGCAAGAUGGGCCUGGAAAGAAGAGACCAACUUCGUGGGAAUAAAAAGCCAGGUCUGGACAAGAUCUCUAGGUGGGGUUACAUGCAACAUGGCAGUAACCGGUUGUAAAUAGACCAGCAGGUGACUAGUUUUAGAAGGAAUUGUAUUUCCAAAUAAACCCCAAGCCUGGCUUUC